CGGCCUGAAUAGCAAACCCGGCGCGAGCCGGCGACGCAAAGCCUCCGGUGUUGGCGGGCUCCCCUUUUAUACGAGGAGCCCUCCCAAGAUAGCGGGGUUGCCGGU
RNAcentral lists this non-coding RNA (105 nucleotides) under Paucibacter sp. KCTC 42545. Its description in RNAcentral is "c-di-GMP-I riboswitch aptamer". It matches the Rfam family "c-di-GMP-I riboswitch aptamer". Rfam says of the family: GEMM was predicted in a large-scale screen for bacterial structured RNA regulatory elements. Genes associated with GEMM are involved in a diverse array of functions, including chemotaxis regulation, signal transduction, secretion and chitin. Lineage: Bacteria; Pseudomonadati; Pseudomonadota; Betaproteobacteria; Burkholderiales; Sphaerotilaceae. The record is from Rfam by way of RNAcentral. RNAcentral also lists the same sequence under 1 other name.